Seriola aureovittata is the source of this 744-nucleotide long non-coding RNA. RefSeq lists it as uncharacterized. The transcript is spliced from 4 exons. Lineage: Eukaryota; Metazoa; Chordata; Actinopteri; Carangiformes; Carangidae. The record is from RefSeq and is a predicted model, not a curated record.
ACGGAUCACUAAACGAGAGUGCGACUGUGGAAAUUGCAGGAAACAUAGGGAAGUCGAUGAAAAAGUGGAAAAGUUUCUAUUAUACCGUUAAAUGUAUAGUGACACUACAGCUGGAUCGAGCCCAUGGAAAGUUAAAGCAGCUGUGCAAAGGCAGGACAGAUGCAUCCCACAGCCUCUCCCCAGGAAGCAGUUGGGAUCUGUCCAUGUCAAUUAUAAUCCACCACAACAGUUGGCUGACUGCGAUUCAUUAUCAUAAGAAGAAGCGGCUCCUCGGCCCUCAACUGCUUCCAGAUGUGGAAUGCCAGAGAUAAUCUGUCCUUUUGGAUCUCAAUGAGAGCGGUGUGUCUUGCAGAAGCUAAAGGUCCAGAUCCGGCUACCAGAUUGUAGACAUCCUACACGUGCAUGCGAACAUGGAAAAGAGAUGAAGACGCAGACAAACAAACACUUAUGCAACUUGAAUUACAGCACCCCACCACCAUGACCUCCUUCUCCCCUCUUUCUUCCAUACCAACAGAGAAUGGCUGGUUAGAACCAGACAAAGAGGAAUUUCAGCACAGCAGCCAAAAAAACCCAGAGACGAGAGCAGAGAUCACAUUGCAUGUAGAUGUAGUUUUCUAACUUACACUAAUACCCGCCUCAUGCUGACUCCAAGGUUUCAGGGGAUUGGCUAAGAGCAAGUGCUUAUGCAACAGAGAGUACAGAAAACAUAGACUUUGAGCAGUGGUUUCCCAAUGAAGUCAGUGU